Tulasnella sp. UAMH 9824 is the source of this 73-nucleotide non-coding RNA. The record is from the annotation of a GenBank genome assembly. Lineage: Eukaryota; Fungi; Basidiomycota; Agaricomycetes; Cantharellales; Tulasnellaceae.
UCGGCGAUGGUGCAGCUGGUAAGCAUAUUGCCCUAUUGCGGCAAAGGCGGACGUUCGACUCGUCCUCGUCGGC